RNAcentral lists this ribosomal RNA (488 nucleotides) under Myroides odoratus. RNAcentral's name for it is "bacterial SSU rRNA". It matches the Rfam family "Bacterial small subunit ribosomal RNA", at positions 952 to 1437 of the family's 1533-position model. The record is from RNAcentral. Lineage: Bacteria; Pseudomonadati; Bacteroidota; Flavobacteriia; Flavobacteriales; Flavobacteriaceae.
CGUUGAUNCGUGAGAAUCCUUUACCAAAGGCUCAAAAGGGGGAGUGAACAGGUUUAGAGCAUAGACUUUUCUUCGGACAAUUUACAAGGUGAUGCAUGGUUGUCGUCAGCUCGUGCCGUGAGGUGUCAGGUUAAGUCCUAUAACGAGCGCAACCCCUAUUGUUAGUUGCCAGCGAGUGAUGUCGGGAACUCUAGCAAGACUGCCAGUGCAAACUGUGAGGAAGGUGGGGAUGACGUCAAAUCAUCACGGCCCUUACGUCUUGGGCUACACACGUGCUACAAUGGCCAGUACAGAAAGCAGCUACCAGGCAACUGGAUGCGAAUCUCAAAAGCUGGUCUCAGUUCGGAUUGGAGUCUGCAACUCGACUCCAUGAAGCUGGAAUCGCUAGUAAUCGGAUAUCAGCCAUGAUCCGGUGAAUACGUUCCCGGGCCUUGUACACACCGCCCGUCAAGCCAUGGAAGCUGGGGGUACCUGAAAGUCGGUCGUUU